Molecule: unclassified non-coding RNA, 412 nt
Filed under: soil metagenome
Description: partial contains 5.8S ribosomal RNA, internal transcribed spacer 2, and large subunit ribosomal RNA
Rfam family: 5.8S ribosomal RNA (bases 1-120)
Source: RNAcentral
GAUGAAGAACGUAGCGAAAUGCGAUAAGUAGUGUGAAUUGCAGAAUUCCGUGAACCAUCAAAUCUUUGAACGCAUAUUGCGCUCGAGGCUUCGGCCGAGAGCAUGUCUGCCUCAGCGUCGGUAUUACCCCUCGCUUCUCAACCCCUGGUUGAUGCCUGCCUGCCUUUGCAGUUGGCUAGAAGCGGAUCUGGCUUUCCCAAUUGCCUUUGGUAGUUGGGUCAGCUGAAGCACAGAGGCUUGAGCAAGGACCCUUAUUGGGCUUCAACUGGAUAGGUAGAACUGGUCUUAGGACCAACUACACGAAGUUGUUGCUUGUGGUCUUUGUCUGGAGGCCAGCAGGAAACCUUUAUACCUUCGACCUGAGCUCAGGCAAGAUUACCCGCUGAACUUAAGCAUAUCAAUAAGCGGAGGA